GCUUGUCUCAAAGAUUAAGCCAUGCAUGUCUGAGUAUAAGCAAUUGUACCGCGAAACUGCGAAUGGCUCAUUAUAUAAGUUAUCGUUUAUUUGAUAGCGCCCUACUACUUGGAUAACCGUGGUAAUUCUAGAGCUAAUACAUGCUAAAAAUCCCGACUCCGGAAGGGAUGUAUUUAUUAGAUUAAAAGCCAACGCCCCCUCACGGGGGCUCCGUGGUGAUUCAUGAUAACUGUUCGAAUCGCACGGCCCUGCGCCGGCGAUGGUUCAUUCAAAUAUCUUCCCUAUCAACUUUCGAUGUUUGGAUAGGGGCCAAACAUGGUGGCAACGGGUAACGGAGGGUUAGGGCUCGACCCCGGAGAAGGAGCCUGAGAGACGGCUACUACAUCCAAGGAAGGCAGCAGGCGCGCAAAUUACCCAAUCCCGACACGGGGAGGUAGUGACAAUAAAUACCGAUACAGGGCUCUUUUGGGUCUUGUAAUUGGAAUGAGUACAACUUAAAUCCCUUAACGAGGAACAAUUGGAGGGCAAGUCUGGUGCCAGCAGCCGCGGUAAUUCCAGCUCCAAUAGCGUAUAUUAAAGUUGUUGUGGUUAAAAAGCUCGUAGUUGAACCUUGGGCCUGGCUGGCCGGUCCGCCUCACCGCGUGUCACUGGUCCGGCCGGGCCUUUCCCUCUGUGGAACCCCAUGCACUUCACUGGGCGUGGCGGGGAAACAGGACGUUUACUUUGAAAAAAUUAGAGUGCUCCAGGCAGGCCUAUGCUCGGAUACAUUAGCAUGGAAUAAUGAAAUAGGACGCGCGGUUCUAUUUUGUUGGUUUCUAGGACCGCCGUAAUGAUUAAUAGGGACAGUCGGGGGCAUCAGUAUUCAGUUGUCAGAGGUGAAAUUCUUGGAUCUACUGAAGACUAACUACUGCGAAAGCAUUUGCCAAGGAUGUUUUCAUUAAUCAGGAACGAAAGUUAGGGGAUCGAAGACGAUCAGAUACCGUCGUAGUCUUAACCAUAAACUAUGCCGACUAGGGAUCGGACGAUGUUAUUCAUUGACUCGUUCGGCACCUUACGAGAAAUCAAAGUGCUUGGGCUCCAGGGGGAG
RNAcentral lists this ribosomal RNA (1087 nucleotides) under Hypocrella siamensis. Its description in RNAcentral is "SSU rRNA". It matches the Rfam family "Eukaryotic small subunit ribosomal RNA", at positions 30 to 1123 of the family's 1831-position model. Lineage: Eukaryota; Fungi; Ascomycota; Sordariomycetes; Hypocreales; Clavicipitaceae. The record is from RNAcentral.